GACGAACGCUGGCGGCGUGCUUAACACAUGCAAGUCGAACGGAAAGGCCCCUUUGGGGGUACUCGAGUGGCGAACGGGUGAGUAACACGUGAGUAACCUGCCCUUGACUUCGGGAUAACUUCAGGAAACUGGGGCUAAUACCGGAUAGGAAUCCUUGCUGCAUGGUGGGGGUUGGAAAGCUUCGGCGGUUUUGGAUGGACUCGCGGCUUAUCAGCUUGUUGGUGGGGUAGUGGCUUACCAAGGCUUUGACGGGUAGCCGGCCUGAGAGGGCGACCGGCCACAUUGGGACUGAGAUACGGCCCAGACUCCUACGGGAGGCAGCAGUGGGGAAUACUGCACAAUGGGCGGAAGCCUGAUGCAGCAACGCCGCGGGCGGGAUGACGGCCUUCGGGUUGUAAACCGCUUUCAGCAGGGGCGAAGCUUGUGGUGACGGUACCUGCAGAAGAAGCACCGGCUAACUACGUG
This 465-nucleotide ribosomal RNA is filed under the name uncultured bacterium. Its description in RNAcentral is "partial 16S ribosomal RNA". It matches the Rfam family "Bacterial small subunit ribosomal RNA", at positions 28 to 507 of the family's 1533-position model. The record is from RNAcentral.